RNAcentral lists this ribosomal RNA (484 nucleotides) under uncultured bacterium. RNAcentral describes it as "partial 16S ribosomal RNA". It matches the Rfam family "Bacterial small subunit ribosomal RNA", at positions 28 to 523 of the family's 1533-position model. The record is from RNAcentral.
GACGAACGCUGGCGGCGUGCUUAACACAUGCAAGUCGAACGAUGAUGCUGGAGCUUGCUCCAGUUGAUUAGUGGCGAACGGGUGAGUAACACGUGAGCAAUCUGCCCUUGACUCUGGGAUAACUGCGGGAAACUGUAGCUAAUACCGGAUACUUUCACCGGGGGGCAUCCUCUGGUGAUGAAAGAAUUUCGGUCAAGGAUGAGCUCGCGGCCUAGCAGCUUGUUGGUGAGGUAACGGCUCACCAAGGCGACGACGGGUAACCGGCCUGAGAGGGUGACCGGUCACACUGGGACUGAGACACGGCCCAGACUCCUACGGGAGGCAGCAGUGGGGAAUAUUGCACAAUGGGCGCAAGCCUGAUGCAGCAACGCCGCGUGAGGGAUGAAGGCCUUCGGGCUGUAAACCUCUUUUAGCAGGGAAGAAGCGAAAGUGACGGUACCUGCAGAAAAAGCACCGGCUAACUACGUGCCAGCCGCCGCGGUAA